AUGCUUCUGUCACUUUCUGUCUGUACCAAAAGAAGUAAAGAACCUUACCCAUCUCUCUCUCCUCUGUUUCUUUCAUGUUUUAUGAGAGCUUCUUAAGAAACUUCUGGCCUAUGGGUUUAUGUAGAAACUAGAGAGCAAGUGAGAGGAAAGAGAAGGUUUUGUUCCUUUUGGGCGUGGAACUUUAACUUCCACAAGUCAGGUUUAGAUCUUCUACUUCUUCAGCUUCUGAUUCGUCCAGAAGCUUUCCAAAUCUGAGAUCUGACAUGGAACACCAAGGUUGGAGUUUUGAGGAGAAUUACAAUCUGUUCAAUAAUAGAAGAUUUAUAAGGCCACAAGAUGAACUAGUAGAGUUGUUAUGGCGAGAUGGGCAAGUGGUUCAGCAGAGCCAAACUCAUAGAGAUCAAACUCAAGCUCAAGUUCAAGCUCAGAAACAGGAUCAAGAAACCCUAAGAUCCUACACUUUUCUUGAAGACCAAGAAACCGUCUCUUGGAUCCAAUACCCUCUAGAUGAAGAUCCAUUUGAAUCCGAAGACUUCACCUCACCUUUCUUCUCAACUAUAGAUCCCCUCCAGAGACCGGCUUCAGAGACGGUUAAGCACGAGGCCGGUCCUGUCCCUCCUGAUAAAGUCAUGCCUCCUCCUAAGUUUAGGCUAACGGAUUCAUCAUCAGGAGUCAGGGAACUAGGAAAAGAACAGUACUCGGUGAUGACCGUUGGACCGAGCCACUGCGGGAGCAACCAAUCUCAAACCGAUCUCGAUGUCUCAUUGACUCAUGAUCCAAGUAAAACAAUCGAUGAGAGGCUCUACUCGAACGAAAAUUCAUCAUCAGGUGGCUCCUCUGGUUGCAGCCUUGGCAAGAACAACAAAGAAAUAGCUUGUGGAAGAAGCAUCACAGCAGACCGUAAGAGAAAACAUAUAAUGGACACUGAUGAAUCUGUGUCUCAGUCAGAUGCUAUCGGUAAUAACAAGUCGAACCAACGAUCAGGAUCAACCCGAAGAAGUCGAGCAGCUGAAGUUCAUAAUCUUUCCGAAAGGAGGAGGAGAGAUAGGAUCAAUGAGAGAAUGAAGGCUUUGCAAGAACUAAUACCUAACUGCAUAAAAACUGAUAAAGCUUCAAUUUUGGAAGAAGCCAUAGAUUAUUUGAAGUCACUUCAGUUACAGCUCCAAGUUAUGUGGAUGGGGAGUGGAAUGGCUGGUGCUGCAGCGACUCCUAUUAUGUUCCCUGGGGUACAGCCUCCUCCACCGUUCAUCCGUCAGCUGCAAAGCCCGGUACUGUUGCCACGAUUUCCGGUUAUGGACGGGUCUGCUAUUCAGAACAAUCCUGGUUUAGUUUGUCAAAACCCGGUACAAAACCAAGUUUUGCCCGAUCGGUUUGGUAGAUAUGUUGGCCUAUUCCCACGUAUGCAGGGCACGUCUCAGCCGAUGGAGAUGAUGACAUUUGGUUCUCCGGCGGGACAGGAAAGUCAACGUACUUCUGCGCCGAAGACCACCGACGGACCUCGUUAGGGCCACUAAGCGCCUGUGCCAUUUUUUCUUUCUUUUGUGGUUUGUUUGGUUGUUGGGGCAUUCUUCGUUAUUUAUAUAAUCUUUUGAACAUAGUUUAAACGUUAUUUUCUGUAUAUGCGAGUUUAUGUAUGUUAACCUUAAUGUCAAAUGACAUGAGCUUUUCAUAAUCGUCCAGAACCAUAAAAUGUAAAAUACAUGUUUGGUAUGUGGUUCAUAUUUCACAAAUAAAAUUAUGCAUUAGUCUCA
RNA transcript from Brassica rapa (field mustard), 1751 nucleotides. It is a transcript of the gene named transcription factor PIF4, with no coding region annotated. NCBI's taxonomy places the organism in Eukaryota, Viridiplantae, Streptophyta, Magnoliopsida, Brassicales, Brassicaceae. The record is from RefSeq and is a predicted model, not a curated record.